AAAGCGUGCGCAGGCGGUUAUACAAGACAGGCGUGAAAUCCCCGGGCUUAACCUGGGAAUGGCGCCUGUGACUGUAUAGCUAGAGUGUGUCAGAGGGGGGUAGAAUUCCACGUGUAGCAGUGAAAUGCGUAGAUAUGUGGAGGAAUACCAAUGGCGAAGGCAGCCCCCUGGGAUAACACUGACGCUCAUGCACGAAAGCGUGGGGAGCAAACAGGAUUAGAUACCCGGGU
RNAcentral lists this ribosomal RNA (230 nucleotides) under uncultured bacterium. RNAcentral describes it as "partial 16S ribosomal RNA". It matches the Rfam family "Bacterial small subunit ribosomal RNA", at positions 562 to 791 of the family's 1533-position model. The record is from RNAcentral.